CACGUAGGGCGCAAGCGUUGUCCGGAAUUAUUGGGCGUAAAGAGCUCGUAGGCGGUUUGUCGCGUCUGCCGUGAAAGUCCGGGGCUCAACUCCGGAUCUGCGGUGGGUACGGGCAGACUAGAGUGAUGUAGGGGAGACUGGAAUUCCUGGUGUAGCGGUGAAAUGCGCAGAUAUCAGGAGGAACACCGGUGGCGAAGGCGGGUCUCUGGGCCGAUACUGACGCUGAGGAGCGAAAGCGUGGGGAGCAAACAGG
Molecule: ribosomal RNA, 253 nt
Filed under: uncultured bacterium
Lineage: Bacteria
Description: partial 16S ribosomal RNA
Rfam family: Bacterial small subunit ribosomal RNA
Source: RNAcentral